RNAcentral lists this ribosomal RNA (380 nucleotides) under uncultured eukaryote. RNAcentral describes it as "partial 18S ribosomal RNA". It matches the Rfam family "Eukaryotic small subunit ribosomal RNA", at positions 592 to 976 of the family's 1831-position model. The record is from RNAcentral.
CAAUAGCGUAUAUUAAAGUUGUUGCGGUUAAAAAGCUCGUAGUUGGAUUUCUGCCGAGGACGACCGGUCCGCCCUCUGGGUGAGUAUCUGGCUCGGCCUGGGCAUCUUCUUGGAGAACGUAGCUGCACUUGACUGUGUGGUGCGGUAUCCAGGACUUUUACUUUGAGGAAAUUAGAGUGUUUCAAGCAGGCUUACGCCUUGAAUACAUUAGCAUGGAAUAAUAAGAUAGGACCUCGGUUCUAUUUUGUUGGUUUCUAGAGCUGAGGUAAUGAUUAAUAGGGAUAGUUGGGGGCAUUCGUAUUUAACUGUCAGAGGUGAAAUUCUUGGAUUUGUUAGAGACGGACUACUGCGAAAGCAUUUGCCAAGGAUGUUUUCAUUGA